GAAAUGCGAUAAGUAAUGUGAAUUGCAGAAUUCAGUGAAUCAUCGAAUCUUUGAACGCACCUUGCACCCUUUGGUAUUCCGAAGGGUAUGCCUGUUUGAGUGUCAUGAAUACCUCAACCCCUUAGUAGUUUUAUUACAAACGGGUGUUGGUCUUGAGCGCCUUGCCGGUUUUUACAAUCGGCUCGCUUUAAAUUCAUUAGCUUUUGGUACCACUUUGACCUGGUUCUACUCGGCGUAAUAAUUUAUUAUCGUCGAGGAUAGUAAUUUUCGGAUUACUAGCCACAGUAAGAGUUGCGGACUGCUUCUAAUAUUAAUUGUCUUUUGGCAAUUUACUUUUUACUCUUUUGACCUCAAAUCAGGUAGGAUUACCCGCUGAACUUAA
This 382-nucleotide unclassified non-coding RNA is filed under the name uncultured Tremellales. RNAcentral's name for it is "sequence contains ITS1". The stretch from base 1 to 105 matches the Rfam family "5.8S ribosomal RNA", at positions 50 to 154 of the family's 154-position model. The record is from RNAcentral. Lineage: Eukaryota; Fungi; Basidiomycota; Tremellomycetes; Tremellales.